AUUGAACGCUGGCGGCAGGCCUAACACAUGCAAGUCGGACGGUAGCACAGAGAGCUUGCUCUCGGGUGACGAGUGGCGGACGGGUGAGUAAUGUCUGGGGAUCUGCCCGAUAGAGGGGGAUAACCACUGGAAACGGUGGCUAAUACCGCAUAACGUCGCAAGACCAAAGAGGGGGACCUUCGGGCCUCUCACUAUCGGAUGAACCCAGAUGGGAUUAGCUAGUAGGCGGGGUAACGGCUCACCUAGGCGACGAUCCCUAGCUGGUCUGAGAGGAUGACCAGCCACACUGGAACUGAGACACGGUCAAGACUCCUACGGGAGGCAGCAGUGGGGAAUAUUGCACAAUGGGCGCAAGCCUGAUGCAGCCAUGCCGCGUGUAUGAAGAAGGCCUUCGGGUUGUAAAGUACUUUCAGCGGGGAGGAAGGCGAUGUGGUUAAUAACCGUAUCGAUUGACGUUACCCGCAGAAGAAGCACCGGCUAACUCCGUGCCAGCCGCCGCCGUAA
RNAcentral lists this ribosomal RNA (504 nucleotides) under uncultured bacterium. RNAcentral describes it as "partial 16S ribosomal RNA". It matches the Rfam family "Bacterial small subunit ribosomal RNA", at positions 30 to 523 of the family's 1533-position model. The record is from RNAcentral.